This is an RNA transcript of Populus euphratica (Euphrates poplar), 1400 nucleotides long. It is a transcript of the gene named mucin-like protein, with no coding region annotated. The record is from RefSeq and is a predicted model, not a curated record. The transcript has 6 exons. NCBI's taxonomy places the organism in Eukaryota, Viridiplantae, Streptophyta, Magnoliopsida, Malpighiales, Salicaceae.
GUUCCAGCCUCGAGUCCAAACAGAGCUUUUGGGCUUUUCUCAUGUUGUUCUCAGCUCAUCUGCUGUCUAUCUUUGCUUUUGUCUUUGUACUGUGGUUUCGAAACGUCUGCUUACAAGCUUACCAGAGCUGGACCUGAAUUUCUCUGAGUCACCGAGUCGUCGUCGCCAGGUUGAGAUUUUUUCGUGUACUCAGUCAAGUGAACAGAACAAAUAAUGCUUUCUGUUCGACAGAUAGCAGCAGCAAGUUGUAGUAGAAUUAAAGAAAGAUGCAGAAUAAAUGGAGCGAGCCAAUUUUUUCAAUCAUUUUCUACCAAAAAAGGGGAGGAUGAAUGGAAUGAUGCAUGGGAAACAGCGUGGCUACCAGAGGAUCUAACAGCUAAGAACAGAGCUCCAUGGGAAAUGGACGUCAAUUUCUCUUCACCCACAGGGAUAGAGGACGCUGAGACCAAGGCUUUUGUUGAGGAAAUGAAUGAUAACUGGGAUGAGCGGCGGAAAACCCAUCCACAACCACAGCCAAAGAAUGAUAAUAAUAAAAAUGGAGGUGAUUCGCUUUAUAAUUUGGACAAUAUGAAAAAAGAUUACAGAUUGAAGAAGCAAAGAAUUCAUGCUGGAUUAUGGACCAAGGAAAUUGAGAAGCAGCAGGAGGAGGCUAUGAAUGCUACAUUGGGAGAUUCUUCUCCUGAUGACAUCGACAGAUUGCUUGAUAGCUGCUCUGAAAUUUUUGACACUGCCAAUGAUGACUUGGACAACUCAAAAAUCCCAAGCUCUUCCGAGUUUAAAAAUAAACCUGAUGGUUGGGAAACAACAGCGAAGGCACAAGAUGGAAAUAUAUGGGAAAUGUCACAGAGGGAGGAAGAUAUUCUCCUCCAAGAAUUUGAUCGUAGAAUAGCAUACAGCAAAUUCCAGAUAGCUAGUUUUAUCAAGACUCACAUAUUUAGCCGGAGGAGGCCUAUUGAUGGUUGGAAAUACAUGAUAGAAGAACUAGGACCAAAUGCCAAGAAAGGGAAGGGUAGUGCUACAAGAGUGCCGAGCCUAUCUGAUCCAUCAACACAACCAUACAAAGAGGACACGAAACUAAUUACUCACAAAGGGAGGUAGUUCAGUUCCCGACUCCGCCGAACUUGUUUGUUCCCAGCCAUUGAUGUUUCCCUGGGGAAUAAGCACAAGUCAAACAGUGUUUCCCUUAUUUUUUUAAAGAGUUUUCUCUCGAACUCCAGAGUUGUGCUUUAUCAGUUUAGGGAGCAUGCCUGCUUCUGAGAUUCACAUGUUCAUCCAUGAAUGAUUUAGUUUUUUCCCUGCCUCUGUAGAUCGUCUAUACAAAUAGUGGUCGUAGUUGAUCAAACCGUACAGGGAUAAAUCUCAGAAUCUAAUAAAUCAACCAAUCUAUCUCUUUUUCUUUA